UGUGUGUGUGUGUGUGUUUGUUCAAGGGCUGAACAAAGGCAUGAAAGACAGGCGCAAAAGUAAAUUCUUUUUUGCAGCCCAGAAACUCACUAUUCAGUAUGAGUUUUAAAACAGACAAGGAGUAUG
RNAcentral lists this small nucleolar RNA (126 nucleotides) under Nannospalax galili (Upper Galilee mountains blind mole rat). RNAcentral describes it as "Small nucleolar RNA SNORA40 (ENSNGAG00000007272.1)". It matches the Rfam family "Small nucleolar RNA SNORA40". From Rfam's summary of the family: The snoRNA ACA 40 belongs to the H/ACA family of snoRNAs and guides the pseudouridylation of 28S rRNA subunit at position U4565. NB This family has a high threshold value to exclude a large number of closely related sequences that do not appear to have conserved H and ACA boxes, and may be pseudogenes. Lineage: Eukaryota; Metazoa; Chordata; Mammalia; Rodentia; Spalacidae. The record is from RNAcentral.